Molecule: ribosomal RNA, 3271 nt
Filed under: Durio zibethinus
Lineage: Eukaryota; Viridiplantae; Streptophyta; Magnoliopsida; Malvales; Malvaceae
Description: eukaryotic LSU rRNA
Rfam family: Eukaryotic large subunit ribosomal RNA
Source: RNAcentral
ACGACCCCAGGUCAAGCGGGAUCACCCGCUGAGUUUAAGCAUAUCAAUAAGUAGAAGAAAAGAAACUUACCAGGAUUCCCCUAGUAACGGUGAGCGAACCGGGAAAAGCCCAGCUUGAGAAUCGGGCACCCCUGACAUUCGAAUUUUAGUCUGAAGAAGCGUCCUCCGGGGAGACUGGGCCCAAGUCCCCUGGAAAUGGGCACCAAAGAGGGUGAAAGCCCCAUUGUGCCCGGACCCUAUCACACCACGAGGCACUAUCUGCGAGUCGGGUUGUUUGAGAAUGCAGCCCCAAUCAGGUGGUAAAUUUCAUCCAAGGCUGAAUACAGGCGAGAGACCAAUAGCGAACAAGUACCGUGAGGGAAAGAUGAAAAGGACUUUGAAAAGAGAGUCAAAGAGUGCUUGAAAUUGUCAUGAGGGAAGCAGAUGGGGGCCGACGAUGUGCCCUGAUCAUAUGUGGAACGACGAGAGCUGGUCUGUCUAUUGGCUCGGGGCAUGGACCGAUGCGGGUCGCGGUGACGGCCCAAGCCUAGGCUUUCGAUGUGCCCGCGGAGACACUGUCAUCAUGAUUGUGGAAUGCAGCACGCGUCAUCUCAGCGUGCCCCGACAUCGAUGUGCUCCAAGGGUCGACGUACGGGCUCCCCAUCCGGCCCAUCUUAAAACACGGACCAAGGAGUCUGACAUGCCUGUGAGUCAAUGGUGCAGGAAACCUAUAAGGCGUAAGGAAGCUGAUUGGCGGGAUCCCUCGCGGGUGCACCGUCGACCGACCUUGAUCUUCUGAGAAAGGUUCGAGUGCGAGCAUGCCCGUCGGGACCUAAAAGAUGGUGAACUAUGCCUGAGCGGGGCGAAGCCAAAGGAAACUCUGGUGGAGGCUCGCAGCGAUACUGACGUGCAAAUUGUUCAUCUGACUUGGGUAUAGGGGCGAAAGACUAAUCGAACCGUCUAGUAGCUGGUUCCUUCCAAAAUUUCCCUCAGGAUAGUUAGAGCCCCGUCGAGUUCUAUAAGGUAAAGCCAAUGAUUAGAGGCAUCGGGGGCGUAAUACCCUUGACCUAUUCUCAAACUUUAAAUAGGUAAGACGGCGCGGCUGCUUCAUUGAGCCGCGCCACAGAAUCGAGAGCUCCAAGUGGGCCAUUUUUGGUAAGCAAAACUGGCGAUGUGGGAUGAACUGAAAGUCGGGUUAUGGUUCCCAACUGUGCGCUAACCCAGAACCCACAAAAGGUGUUGGUCGAUUAAGAUAGUAGGACAGUGGUCAUGGAAGUCGAAAUCAAUUAAAGAGUGUGUAACAACUCACCUGCCGAAUCAACUAGCCCCAAAAAUGGAUGGUGCUUAAGCACACGACCAAUACCCUAUCGUUGGGGUAAGGGCCAGGCCCCGAUGAGUAAGAGGGCACGACAGUCACCUCAAAACCCGAGGUACAAGCCCGAGCAUAGCGACCAUCAGUGCAGAUCUUGGUGGUAGUAGCAAAUAUUCAAAUGAGAACUUUGAAGGCCGAAGAGGGAAAAGGUUCCAUGUGAAUAGCACUUGCACAUGGGUUAGUCGAUCCUAAUAGAAGGGGGAAACCUGUCCGACAGCGCGUCCCGUGUGAGCUUUAAAAGGAAAUUGGGUUAAAAUUCUUGAACUGGGAUGCGACGGCUGAUGGCACCGUUAGGGAGUCAGGAGACAUCGACGGGGGCCUUAGGAAGAGUUAUCUUUUCUGUUUAACGGCCUACCCACCCUAAAAAUGGCUCAGUCGGAGGUAGGGUCCAGCGGUCAAAAGAGCACCGCACGUCACAUGGUGUCCGAUGCACCCCCAACGACCCUUGAAAAUCUAGAGGAUCGAGUGCCAUUCGCACCUUAUCGUACUCAUAACUGCAUCAGGUCUCCAAGGUGAAUAGCCUCUAGUUGAUGGAACAAUGUAGGCAAGGGAAGCCAGCAAAAUGGAUCUGUAACCUCGAGAAAAGGAUUGGCUCUGAGGGCUCGACACGGGGGUCCCAGUCUCGAACCCGUCGACUGUCGAUGCACUGCUCGAGCUGCUUCCACGGUGAUAGUGGGUUACCGCGUGCCGACCAGGGGAUGGACUGGGAAAGCUCCAUCGGGGGCCUUCCCCGGGUGACGAACAGUCGACUCAGAACUGGUAUGGACAAGGGGAAUCCAACUAUUUAAUUAAAGCAAAACAUUGUGAUGGUCCCUGCAGAUGCUCACGUAAUGUGAUUUUUGCCCAGUGCUCUAAAUGUCAAAGUGAAGAAAUUCAACCAAGCACGAGUAAACGGUGAGAGUAACUAUGACUCUCUUAAGGUAGCCAAAUGCCUCGUCAUCUAAUUAGUGACGCACAUGAAUGGAUUAAUGAGAUUCCCAUUGUCCCUGUCUACUAUCCAGUGAAACCACAACUAAGGGAAUGGGCUUGGCAAAAUCAACGGGGAAAGAAGACCCUAUUAAGCUUGACUCUAGUCCGACUUUGUGAAAUGACUUGAGAGGUGUAGGAUAAGUGGGAGCCCUCGGGCGAAAUUGAAAUACCACUACUUUUAACAUUAUUUUACUUAUUCGUGAAUCAAAGACGGGGUAUGACCCCUUCUUUUAGACCCAAGGCCGAUCUCGGCCGAUCGAUUCGGGUGGAAGACAUUGUUAGGUGGGGAGUUUGGCUGGGGUGGCACAUCUAUUAAAAGAUAACGCAGGUGUCCUAAGAUGAGCUCAACGAUAAUAGAAAUCUCGUGUGGAACAAAAGGGUAAAAGCUCAUUUGAUUCUAAUUUCCAGUACGAAUACGAACUGUGAAAGCGUGGCCUAUCGAUCCUUUAGACCUUCGAGAUUUGAAGCUAGAGGUGUCAAAAAAGUUACCACAUGGAUAACUGGCUUGUGGUAGCCAAGCGUUCAUAGCGAUGUUGCUUUUUGAUCCUUCGAUGUCGACUCUUCCUAUCAUUGUGAAGCAAAAUUCACCAAGUGUUGGAUUGUUCACCCACCAAUAGAGAACAUGAGCUGGGUUUAGACCAUCGUGACACAGGUUAGUUUUACCCUAUUGAUGGAGGCAUCGCGAUAGUAAUUCAACCUAGUACGAGAGGAACUAUUGACUCGUAUAAUUGGUCAUCGUGCUUGGUUGAAAAGCCAGUGGCACGAAGCUAUCGUGCGUUGGAUUAUGACUGAAUGCCUCUAAGUCAAAAUAUGGGCUAGAAGUGACGUGCGCGCCCGUCGCCCGAUUACCGACCCGCAGUAGGGGCCCAUGGCCCCCAAGGGCACAUGUCGUGGGUGCCGCCUCCAUGGUGAACGAGCCACGUGGGCCUCCUUGGAGCUCAAUUCCCACCG